GAUGAACGCUGGCGGCGUGCCUAAUACAUGCAAGUCGAGCGAACAGACGAGGAGCUUGCUCCUUUGACGUUAGCGGCGGACGGGUGAGUAACACGUGGGUAACCUACCUAUAAGACUGGGAUAACUUCGGGAAACCGGAGCUAAUACCGGAUAAUAUUUCGAACCGCAUGGUUCGAUAGUGAAAGAUGGCUCUACUAUCACUUAUAGAUGGACCUGCGCCGUAUUAGCUAGUUGGUAAGGUAACGGCUUACCAAGGCAACGAUACGUAGCCGACCUGAGAGGGUGAUCGGCCACACUGGAACUGAGACACGGUCCAGACUCCUACGGGAGGCAGCAGUAGGGAAUCUUCCGCAAUGGGCGAAAGCCUGACGGAGCAACGCCGCGUGAGUGAUGAAGGUCUUCGGAUCGUAAAACUCUGUUAUUAGGGAAGAACAAACGUGUAAGUAACUGUGCACGUCUUGACGGUACCUAAUCAGAAAGCCACGGCUAACUACGUGCCAGCAGCCGCGGUAAUACGUAGGUGGCAAGCGUUAUCCGGAAUUAUUGGGCGUAAAGCGCGCGUAGGCGGUUUUUUAAGUCUGAUGUGAAAGCCCACGGCUCAGCCGUGGAGGGUCAUUGGAAACUGGAAAACUUGAGUGCAGAAGAGGAAAGUGGAAUUCCAUGUGUAGCGGUGAAAUGCGCAGAGAUAUGGAGGAACACCAGUGGCGAAGGCGACUUUCUGGUCUGUAACUGACGCUGAUGUGCGAAAGCGUGGGGAUCAAACAGGAUUAGAUACCCUGGUAGUCCACGCCGUAAACGAUGAGUGCUAAGUGUUAGGGGGUUUCCGCCCCUUAGUGCUGCAGCUAACGCAUUAAGCACUCCGCCUGGGGAGUACGACCGCAAGGUUGAAACUCAAAGGAAUUGACGGGGACCCGCACGAGCGGUGGAGCAUGUGGUUUAAUUCGAAGCAACGCGAAGAACCUUACCAAAUCUUGACAUCCUUUGACCCUUCUAGAGAUAGAAGUUUCCCCUUCGGGGGACAAAGUGACAGGUGGUGCAUGGUUGUCGUCAGCUCGUGUCGUGAGAUGUUGGGUUAAGUCCCGCAACGAGCGCAACCCUUAAGCUUAGUUGCCAUCAUUAAGUUGGGCACUCUAAGUUGACUGCCGGUGACAAACCGGAGGAAGGUGGGGAUGACGUCAAAUCAUCAUGCCCCUUAUGAUUUGGGCUACACACGUGCUACAAUGGACAAUACAAAGGGCAGCGAAACCGCGAGGUCAAGCAAAUCCCAUAAAGUUGUUCUCAGUUCGGAUUGUAGUCUGCAACUCGACUACAUGAAGCUGGAAUCGCUAGUAAUCGUAGAUCAGCAUGCUACGGUGAAUACGUUCCCGGGUCU
RNAcentral lists this ribosomal RNA (1372 nucleotides) under uncultured bacterium. RNAcentral describes it as "bacterial SSU rRNA". It matches the Rfam family "Bacterial small subunit ribosomal RNA", at positions 28 to 1381 of the family's 1533-position model. The record is from RNAcentral.